Folsomia candida is the source of this 3235-nucleotide long non-coding RNA. RefSeq lists it as uncharacterized. The record is from RefSeq and is a predicted model, not a curated record. NCBI's taxonomy places the organism in Eukaryota, Metazoa, Arthropoda, Collembola, Entomobryomorpha, Isotomidae. The transcript has 3 exons.
AACUUUUCUCCCCUCUUUCUCACUAUUAUUAACCUUGCAUCAAUCCAUUUUUACUUUUUGAAAUGUGAUCUGUUCUAAAAACUUGCCGUCCCGUGAAGUUGAUUGCAACAUGUGCUCGUCUAUAAAUACUUGUUAAAGCAUCAUAUACAUCUACUCGUAUGUUUUCUCAAUGCUUGUUUUUAAGUACUCCACGCGACCCGGUCCCCAGAAGUCUGCAUUAAUUUAUGGUGGAGCAAAUGAGUAAGUGUCCCAUCCAGGUCGAGCGAAUAUUGGUUUGACCCUCCACGCCAACAAGGAAACCGCUCCAUCCUCCCGAGACCAAGGAAAUGGAUGGGGCGAGAGAGAGGUGAGUUUUAAAAGGACGAACGGAUCUCUUAUACAGUUAAAGGGAACAGUCUCUUUCUUCUCGAGAGUGUCGUAUUCAUGGUUAAAAUGGUUCAUAUGCACCGUUUCUCCUUUGUUCAUUCAACGAGAGCCCAACAAAAACCCGCACAAUAAAUAUCCCAUUUAUUUUAUUAUCUUCGGAUUUAUAGGCUUUGGUGGGGAUGACAGGAAGAGGGCAAGAAUUGUACGCCUUUCCUACUCCUUCAUUCGUGAACAGUUGUGGGAGACAGAAGAGUGAAGCAAGUGGUUGGGAAAUCAGGCCAUAACUUUUUGGGUGCACUUUAAGGUUCGCGUUGAAUAUUUCACUUGGAAAUUGCAUGAAAUCCGAGAAGUUCUGCCGCCUCCUUGGGAAAAUGCAUCUUGAUGAAUUCCUCCUAAUUUGGUUACGCAAGACAUGCAAGAAAGCAUCAUUUCAUCAUGCGCAUUUAAAACAACAGGGUUUGAAAUACAUGAACUCGUGGAAAUGGAGAUUCGUAUCUUUUCCUGGAAUGCAUAAGAAUUACGGCAGUGCGAAAUUUUCGUCUUCCGAACCAUUUUUUUUGCACAGAGGUGGUGCUCGACGGAGAUCGUUGUGUCAUGCAUGUAAUUACGAAGCAUUAAUGAUGAAGAGCUUUAAUUUAAUGCGAGAGACCUGGGGCACUACCAAUAAUACCAUCGUCACUCCUGCACCACGGUGUGCACUGUUGCUGUUGAUGGUUCAUUGACCCGAUUGAGGUGGCAUAAACACAAAAUAGUGGAAUACAAUAAAUGAGUAAAGUGUAGUAGUCGUAGUAUCUGUAGUAAUAGGUCCACUUCACCACUUUUUAACUUUAUGACUUCUUUGUACCAACAUUCACCAAGAACUCUGUGCAUGCAUGGGGCUCCAACCGUUGCCACUGCUCCAUCAGGACGCACACCACCAAACGUCUUGGGCUGUCUUCUUUACUGAGGUUGCUGUAGGGCAGAUAUUUUGCUCACCUUAAAUCCGGAUCUUACUGCUCGCAAUUGGUCCAUAAGCAUGCAUCAUCAAUGUGUAAAAAAUGAUUGGAAGGGAAGCCAGAAGCCUGGACAGGUCGUCUCGAAACUGUCUCGAAAACUGUAGUAUUUCGAUGAGUGGAUGCAGACUAGGUCCCGUUUCUAAGAUUCAAUUUGACACGGACGCGGAGUGAAUGACGGUAGUUUUUGGUUUAGAAUUUGAAGGGUCACAGGAGCCAGGAUUUUGAAGUUCCUUGAGAAAACCCGUUACAAAAUCUUGAGAAGAAGAAGAGUUCUCAACUUUCGAAAACUGCAUCUCCAGCAAAGAAUCUUAACUAAAUAUGCAACUCUUCUUUCCACAUGAUCGUCAUCUUCCUGGGAAAAGAGUUUCCCAUUUGGAUAUCGUAUUACAAAACUAUUCAAAUUGAGAAUAUAUGAUCCAUCAGCCAUCCACAUAAGUAGAAUGCAUUGGAAAAUGAGCCAGCAGAAGUAUUUAAUACCGUGAAACAAGGCAGUGAGGAAAAUGGCCAAGCCAAUGAUACCUUCUCAGCACGAGUUCAAAUUUGUCCUCAGCCGAUAAUCUGUACCACUGGCUUGCCCUUCUUCUUCUUCUGCUUGACUCGGACCAGCGAGGAUUGCAGUGCAAAAAAUGUGUGCAAGAAGAAUGCAUCGGAUGCAGUCGUCUCUACAUACAUUGUAGCCCAUGGGAUGCGUAUGCACACUUAACUGCAUGCGCGAUGAUGAUCUUUAAGCAAUGUUUGCCUAAGAUUGUUUGUACGUAUGCGACGAUGGGAUGCAAUGUGCAUGCAAGUUCUUCAUCUUGGAGAUACUGCUGCUUCUUAGCUAUACAUAUGCUGAUCGUGAUGGUUAUGGUAACAAGACGAGUGGCUGCGAUGUCUUACUCCUUACCUUAGAAUGGAAUUACAUUAGAGAAAAGGUCGUUCGUUGACUUUUUGGCCCAGUUUUCCUUUUAUUUAUUUAUCCUCCAAUAAAACCUUCUUCUCUUCCCUUUGUUCUUCUUGUUCUCCUCUUGUUCUCCUCCCAUUCUCCUCCUGGGGUGAGCGCCCAUCUCGGGGUUUGCGGCGGCGUUGAAGCCAAGAGACGAUGCGCUAACAAGGUUUCAAACAUGAGACGAAUAGGUUUUACCUGCCAGAUUCGUGUCAUGGCUUCUCCUCCAGAAGAACUCUUCCAGGAGUGUCAAACACACUAUUUAACACUUUAGUACCAGAAGCAUAGCGAAGAGUGAGGAUCUUUCAACUUAAAUUGGCUGCUGUUUACUCUAUGCAAGCAAUUGUCCUAAAUGUGUCCUUUCACAAUGAGAUGUGAGGCGACGAAGUGAGGAGAGUCAUUGCCCCUUGGAGUGCACCUGCUAUAUCAACAUGCAGCAAAGUUGCCUCAUCUGUAUAUCUCAUCAUCUCCGCUGCUAUAGGCAAUGGUGCUCCUUUGACAAGUUGGUGGUUUUGUGGGUUAUGAUGUUAGCAAGAUCAUGAUGCGAUCAUGAUGCAUCCGGUCUGAAACUGGAAUUAUAUCUCAACAACUCCUGACUGGUUUAAGGGCACGUUCCCACUCUCGGCCGGACUGGGUGGCGUUGUUGGUGCCGAGUGAGUACAAUAAUAUUUUAGUGGUGACACGGCUUUUCUUGUCUUCAAAGGAAGAUGCAAAACAAAAGUGAAACAGUGGGAAAUAAUGGGCACAUUGACCGACGAGAUGCAACAAGUCACCUCUUGCUUGCCCUAAAAAACGGAAGCGUAAGGAUUUACUAGAAAAAGUGACAAAACAUGCAUCUUAUUGGUCGUCUACCACCAUAGCUAAAAAUAAAAUACGCCUGCUAAACCCAUGAAAACAAGAAAUCCAAAAUUUUGAUAUGCUUCAAAUUAAAUGAAAAUAAAAGUGAAAC